This 494-nucleotide ribosomal RNA is filed under the name uncultured bacterium. RNAcentral describes it as "partial 16S ribosomal RNA". It matches the Rfam family "Bacterial small subunit ribosomal RNA", at positions 28 to 507 of the family's 1533-position model. The record is from RNAcentral.
GACGAACGCUGGCGGCGUGCUUAACACAUGCAAGUCGAACGGAAAGGCCUGCUUUCCCUUGUGGAUUGCGGGUACUCGAGUGGCGAACGGGUGAGUAACACGUGAGUUAUCUGCCCCAAACUUUGGUAUAAGCCUGGGCAACUGGGUCUAAUUCCCGAUAGCACUGCAGGGUGGUGUCUGUGGUGGAAAACGAUUUUCUAGUGGUUGGGGAUGAGCUCGCGGCCUAUCAGCUUGUUGGUGGGGUAAUGGCCUACCAAGGCGGCGACGGGUAGCCGGCCUGAGAGGGUGGACGGGCACAUUGGGACUGAGACACGGCCCAGACUCCUACGGGAGGCAGCAGUGGGGAAUAUUGCACAAUGGGCGGAAGACUGAUGCAGCGACGCCGAGUGGGGGAUGACGGCCUUCGGGUUGUAAACUCCUUUCGACCGCGAGGAAGCCACCUGGUUGGAAGGGUGGUGACGGUAGUGGUAGAAGAAGCACCGGCUAACUACGUG